UACGGGGGGGGCAAGCGUUGUUCGGAAUUACUGGGCGUAAAGGGCUCGUAGGCGGCCAACUAAGUCGGAUGUGAAAUCCCCAGGCUUAACCUGGGAACUGCAUCCGAUACUGGAUGGCUUGAAUCCGGGAGAGGGAUGCGGAAUUCCAGGUGUAGCGGUGAAAUGCGCAGAUAUCAGGAAGAACACCCGUGGCGAAGGCGGCUCUCUGGUACGUGACUGACGCUGAGACGCGAAAGCGUGGGGAGCAAACAGG
This 253-nucleotide ribosomal RNA is filed under the name uncultured bacterium. RNAcentral's name for it is "partial 16S ribosomal RNA". It matches the Rfam family "Bacterial small subunit ribosomal RNA", at positions 524 to 776 of the family's 1533-position model. The record is from RNAcentral.